RNAcentral lists this ribosomal RNA (253 nucleotides) under uncultured bacterium. Its description in RNAcentral is "partial 16S ribosomal RNA". It matches the Rfam family "Bacterial small subunit ribosomal RNA", at positions 524 to 776 of the family's 1533-position model. The record is from RNAcentral.
UACAGAGGGGGCAAGCGUUGUUCGGAAUUACUGGGCGUAAAGGGCGCGUAGGCGGCCUGUUAAGUCGAACGUGAAAUCCCCGGGCUCAACCCGGGAACUGCGUCCGAUACUGGCAGGCUUGAAUCCGGGAGAGGGAUGUGGAAUUCCAGGUGUAGCAGUGAAAUGCGUAGAGAUCGGGAGGAACAUCUGUGGCGAAGGCGGCCACCUGGACCAGCACUGACACUGAGGCACGAAAGCGUGGGGAGCAAACAGG